This 419-nucleotide ribosomal RNA is filed under the name uncultured bacterium. Its description in RNAcentral is "bacterial SSU rRNA". It matches the Rfam family "Bacterial small subunit ribosomal RNA", at positions 355 to 774 of the family's 1533-position model. The record is from RNAcentral.
UGAGGAAUAUUGCACAAUGGGCGCAAGCCUGAUGCAGCGACGCCGCGUGUGGGAUGAAGGGGCUACGCCUCGUAAACCACUGCAGCCCGGGACGAAAAACGCCUUAGAGGCGUUAGACGGUACCGGGAAAGUAAGGGUCGGCUAACUACGUGCCAGCAGCCGCGGUAAUACGUAGGACCCAAACGUUGUCCGGAUUUACUGGGUGUAAAGGGUGCGCAGGCGGAUGGGUAAGUCAGGGGUGAAAGUCUGCAGCUUAACUGUAGAAUUGCCUUUGAUACUGCUCAUCUUGAGUGUGGGAGAGGUAGAUGGAAUUCCGGGUGUAGCAGUGAAAUGCGUAGAUAUCAGGAGGAACACCGGCGGUGUAGACGGCUUGCUAGACCAUAACUGACGCUGAGGCACGAAAGCGUGGGUAGCAAACA